UAUUAAUUGAGUAAAAUGUUUUGUCUCUAUUCAGUUCACGGUUUACAGAUAGUGAUAAGUACAAGGACACUUUCUACACGUGCUUCGACCUUUCAGAGGAGAGAGAGGGAGAUAUCUGUAAUGCCUGCGUUUUAUUAG
This is a long non-coding RNA of Eurytemora carolleeae, 138 nucleotides long. RefSeq lists it as uncharacterized. The record is from RefSeq and is a predicted model, not a curated record. The transcript has 2 exons. Lineage: Eukaryota; Metazoa; Arthropoda; Copepoda; Calanoida; Temoridae.